Molecule: ribosomal RNA, 319 nt
Filed under: uncultured eukaryote
Lineage: Eukaryota
Description: partial 18S ribosomal RNA
Rfam family: Eukaryotic small subunit ribosomal RNA
Source: RNAcentral
CCCUUAGAUGUUCUGGGCUGCACGCGUGCUACAAUGGCGUUUCCAGCAAGUCUGCGAACCCGAGAGGGCCAGCGGAUCUUCGAAUUGGCGUCGUGAUCGGGACAGUCGAUUGCAAUUAUUUGACUCAAACGAGGAAUUCCUUGUAAUCGCGAUUCAUCAUAUCGCGCUGAAUACGUCCCUGCCCUUUGUACACACCUCCCGUCGCUCCUACCGAUUGAGCGAUCCGGUAAAUGUUUUGGAUUGGUGCCGGGGCGGCUAGCUGCCGGUCGCUACGAAAUUUUGUGAACCUUAUCGCUUAGAGGAAGGAAAAGUCGUAACA